This 258-nucleotide ribosomal RNA is filed under the name uncultured bacterium. RNAcentral's name for it is "partial 16S ribosomal RNA". It matches the Rfam family "Bacterial small subunit ribosomal RNA", at positions 98 to 354 of the family's 1533-position model. The record is from RNAcentral.
CGGGACGGGUGAGUAACGUGUGGGCAACCUGCCCUGCACUGGGGAAUAAUCAUUGGAAACGAUGACUAAUACCGCAUACGGUUCCUGGGAGGCAUCUUCUGGGAAAGAAAGGAUUUAUUCGGUGCAGGAUGGGCCCGCAUCUGAUUAGCUAGUUGGUGAGAUAACAGCCCACCAAGGCGACGAUCAGUAGCCGACCUGAGAGGGUGACCGGCCACAUUGGGACUGAGACACGGCCCAAACUCCUACGGGAGGCAGCAG